RNAcentral lists this microRNA precursor (124 nucleotides) under Hordeum vulgare. Its description in RNAcentral is "microRNA MIR1122". It matches the Rfam family "MIR1120/MIR1122 microRNA precursor family". Lineage: Eukaryota; Viridiplantae; Streptophyta; Magnoliopsida; Poales; Poaceae. The record is from RNAcentral.
AUCAUACUCCCUCCGUCCGAAAAUACUUGUCCUAGAAAUAGAUGUAUCUAGACUUAUUUUAGUUAUAGAUACAUCCAUUUUAUUCAUUUCUAGGGCAAGUAUUUCCGGACGGAGGGAGUAUGUU